Molecule: long non-coding RNA, 3379 nt
Organism: Cryptomeria japonica (Japanese cedar)
Lineage: Eukaryota; Viridiplantae; Streptophyta; Pinopsida; Cupressales; Cupressaceae
Exons: 3
Source: RefSeq, a predicted model, not a curated record
UCGAACAGCCAUUUUCGGGUAAAAACGAUAACCCUUAUCCCGAUCUUUAUCUCUAGCCCUUUUUUCGAUCUGAACCUCUGAGAAUUCCCCAUAUAAGGACUCCUGCGCUCGGUUCAAAUUCAUAAUGUUAUUUGACAUUUUUCAAGUUCGGAAAGCGAUUUGAAAGUGAUUUGUGUUUCACAAUGAGGUCCGGCAUUUUGUUCAGCAAAACCGUAUGAAUUAUAUUCGUGUUGGUAUUGUCUGCAACAUGCUUACAAUGUCUGUGGUCGCGUGGGUGGGUAUUGCAAUUUUUGGCAGGAUGCCCUCUUUCCACUGUGGCGGCAAAGGGAAGCUAUUAAUUCUAGCUGCAAGAAAGUAUUAUACCCGGAUAUCUAUGUUUCGAUACUGCAAUCAUAUUAGGGCGUCCAAGGAACGAGUCCCAAGAAUUUGGCUCAUAUUACUUUGAAUUCAAGAAGCCUGCAGCUCGACUUUGAAAGUAGCAGCCACCCAGAAAAUGGUCCCCACAACUCAAUGCUUUAGAAGAUUGUAUUGAUCUGUUCGUAGAAUCUGUGGAACAUAUUAACCGGUCGUUGGGAGAAGUAGGCGGCUUGAAUGUGAAACCCUCGAAGGCCCAGAUUGCAAAUGUGAAGAUAUGGCUCAGCGUGGCUCUCAAUGACAUUUAUGAAGAAAAUGUGCGACGAAUGCGAUGAUCCUUGGCGAUGGGCGCGGGCAGACCAUCAUUGCAUCUCGCUCAAAUGUCAAAGGCGGCUCCACCGCCUUCAGGUCUAGAACCUUAGCUGCAUCCGGCAAAGGAUUUAUCAUCCGAGAUAUGACCUUCACCGACCUGGCAGAACCAGAUAAGAAUCAAGCUGUAGGUUUUUGUGUGGGGGCUAAUCUAUCAGCUUUUUACUGCUGCAACUUUAUCAACUUCCGGAACACCUUAUAUGUUCACUCCCUCCAAUUCUACAAGAAUGUAAUAUCUAGGGAACUGUAGACUUCAUCUUGGGCAACACAACUGCCUUUGUUCAAAUUGCAAUAUUAUCACGAGAACAGCGAUGGGCAAUUAGAGCAACACCAUUACUUCUCAGAGCAUAAAUGACCCCAGCCAGAACACUGGAAUUUUAAUUCAGAACUGCACCAUUGUGGCCUCCAUAGAUCUCGCUUGAGUCAGAUUCACUUAUCUUGGAAGGCCCCAUGGAAAUUGUUUUUGUGGACAAUCGUCCUUCAGAGCUUUCUAGGCUAUGUUAUCCACCCCACCGGUUGGUUGGAGUGGUUCGGGAAUUAUGGGUUAGAAAGGGUGUAUUAUGGAGUAUAUGUUAACACUGACCCCGCUCAAAGGUGGACAGACAAGUUGGAUGAGGUGUGUUAUAGAGUUAUCAACACAGUAGAGGAGGUCCUUUUUUGCACAAUUGAUAACUUCAUUUCUGGAUGUGUUUGGUUGUCCUCCACUAGAAUUUGUUUCAAUAAUAAAAUGAUUACAGAGGUCUGAUAUUCUAAUGUCUUCAUUCAAUUGAAAUAAAAUGGGUGGAGAAUUUUAACUGUCUAUGGAAUCUCAUUUGACACCUUCCUCUGCCUUGAGGUUAAAAGAUUGCUUUGUUGUUAAAGGGUGAUUGAUUUAUUAUUUCUCUUAUUAAAGGGUGUCAAUAAUAAAUGAAUCAACCUUCACACAAUUUGAAAGCAGUCUCUAACUUCUAAAAUUCUCCACUUGUUUAUUUCAGAUGAAUGAAGACAUUAGAAUUUCAUGAUCAUUUUUUGAUCGAAAGGAAUUCCAAUGGAAGGCAAUCCAAGCAGAUCCAAAAUUUUUGAAAAAAUUAGCCUCCUUCGCUCUUUUAAUAACUCUAUAAUCCUUCCAUCCAACUCGUUUGUCCACUUUUGAGCCGAGUCUGGUGUUAAUAUAUUCUCCAUAAUCUCCCAAACAGAUAACAUCGCCUAAGAAGCUCUGAAUCAUGACUAUCCAUGAAAACAAUCUCCAUGGUCUUCCGAGAUAAACGGAUGACUAAAGUGAGAUUUGUGGAGGCCACAAUAAAUUGAAUAUCAACAACAAUGGAAGCCGUACCCAAGAGAGUUUUGAGCCCAGCUUGUCCCAAGGAGAUUGAGUUCAGAUCUGAGUAUGCUCACAGAAGCAUGAAUCGGGGCAGCCAAACUCACCGUCAACCAUCUUGGCCUCUGCCUGCUGAAGUAUGCAGACUAUUCAGACCUAUGGGAGUAGUGGUUUAAUGACACAACCCCUGGGGAUAGAUCCUCUUCUUUGGGGAUACAUUGAAAGCACACCGUUCAGGGAAUUCAUUGACCACCUAAUUGGCGGCAAUGGAUUGUUUCAUGGGUUUAGCAAGGAAUUUAGAUGCAGGGCGUGGGAUCUCAAGGGAGGUUACCUGCACCGUAUAGCUAGGGAGUGAAAUUGUCAAAUUGGAUGAAGGAACCAACUCUGCCUGCUCCUGAGGGACGAUAAGUGGACAAAGCCUGGACUCCAAAUUGGACGUUAAACGUGAUCCGGUAACCUUAAUCAUUAACUAUACAAUGUUUAUUUUUUCGAUAGAAUACUUAAUUUUUUUUUCAGCAUACAAUGUGUUCACCUUGAUUUUCGUCAGACUCAACCUUCCAAGUAAUGUACAUAACCUGAGGCAGUGGAAGGGUUCAGGUUGUGGGCAUAGAUGGAGAGAGGGUGUUGGAGACACAGAUAAUGGCUGGUGUCUUCUUCGUUGUUCCAAGAUUCUUUAUGUGGUUUCUAAGGUUGCUGGAGAUGAAGGAACGGAAUGGUUCUGAAUCAUUAAUACAGCUAGCGAGUGUCCAAUUUUCCUGUGAUAAGAUGUCUGACAAUUUAUUUUUACACUCGAUUGUGAAGAUUUCAUGCAAGUUUAAGAAACUUUGAUUUAAUUUCUCAGUAAGAUUUUUUCUAAUAAAGAAUGUUUUCAUGUGUGUGUACUGUGUACAGUCCUGUGUUUUUCCAUCUGGCAUGGAGGACAUGUGUGUAGAAGGUUCUAUUUGAGGAUAUUCUUGCAGCCUUUUUCAAUGUAGGUGACAAGACAGAGGAUCUGUUUAGCUCCAAAUGAACUCAGGAGGCCAUUUUCUUCCCUCCUCCCAACCGCGGGGAUAUCUUAUUCCAAAUUAUACAGGUCUUCUGUGGAAGAGGUCUAUUGAAUUUUGGUCUGCAGUUUACGAUUUCCAGAACUGGGAUAUAAUCCCCUUGAUAUCUUACUGUAAAGCGGCGGUUAUGGUGGUUGAUAUUGGGGAAAGAGUAUCUGUCCUUCUCCAUUAUUUGGAUUAGUGUCUGAUUUGUAGUUGUUUUUUUUUGAAUUAUUAUUUAAGUCUCUAUGUAAGUCGGAUUAGCUGGAUGUACGGGAGCUAUCCUCUUUUGACAGCACUUAAUAAUAAUAAUAAAAAGUAAUUAUGUUUUUCAAAA